AUGAGUGAUUCAAAAUGUUGGUUUAGUUAAUCAGGUUUUAAUAAGUAACAGUUUGCAUCAUGUGUCAUGCUUAGUUUAUGUUACAGGGUAGCAUAUGUCACAUGUCAUAGAAUCCAAUGGACAUUGACCUUGUUUGACCUUUACUUUGGAGACCAA
Thalassophryne amazonica is the source of this 156-nucleotide long non-coding RNA. RefSeq lists it as uncharacterized. NCBI's taxonomy places the organism in Eukaryota, Metazoa, Chordata, Actinopteri, Batrachoidiformes, Batrachoididae. The transcript is spliced from 3 exons. The record is from RefSeq and is a predicted model, not a curated record.